CACUGGAGUGGACUUAACCCGCAGCUGGGGUCAGCAGGGAUGAGCCCCUCUCCUUGCUGCAGGGCUGCUGCCUUGCAUGGGAGGAGAAGGGGCUGCAGGGGGUGGUGGCACAGCUUGUCCUGCUCUAUGGAUCAUUGCCAUGCUGAAGGUGCUGCUGGAUCCUUGCCCUUCUUCCUGUGCCUCUUUGCAGGCCACUUCCCUUUGCCUAUCCUCCAAAUAGAGGGAGAUUUCCCUUGAUUCCUGGGGUGCUGUGCCUGCAGGCUGGCUCCUGGAGCAGCCAUGGUCACCCCGUGGAUGUGGCAGCUCUGAAAUCCAGGACCUGGAGAGCAGAGCUCCUGAAGGAUGCUGUGUUUGAGUCUGGGCUGCUGAACUGUUUGGACAGGUUUCUCUGCAAAGCUGCUUCACUUCUUGGGCCCCCUAGUUUCUGUACUGGCACAAAAUUACAGCAUUCUCCAGCAAAAGGAUCCCUGCAGCUGAGUUUCCUUGUUUUGCAGCCCUUGCUGUGUGCCCAGGACUGCUCUGCUGCUCUCACCCUGCACACCCAAUAGCACUCAGGUGCUGACGGACGCUGCCCAGUCUCUGGCAGCUCCAUGCAGGCUUUUGAGGUUGCUGAGCUGAGAUGCCUGUAGGAGCCCAGCGUGGGGCUGGGCACAAACCUGUACGUGGCUGCUUCUCACGAGGAGCAGUUUCCCUUGGUGUGCCCCAAGCGUGCCAUUGGCCUGAGCAAGCUGCUGUUGACUCGCCAUGGGAAGGUACAACUUCAACCUUUUGCACAUGAGAUAAAGCAUGGGGACAUUCCAGGUGAGAGCACUGGAGUCCAUCUCUGCCCAGGUGUGCUCGGAAGCCAGGAACACGCUUUGGGAGGGCGGGACAUGAGGAUGCAUCAAUCCUACACCUGGGUUUCGUUGUCACUGCUGUUUUGUCACAUGCCAACACGCCCUGUCUCUUUCUCGUCACUCUUUUCUUCCCUCUUUCACCACAACGAUGUCUUAUCUCCACUAAAUCUUCUUAUUUUAUUACACCAGGGUGGAUUUUGUUUGCAGCCUAAGCAGCUGUCCACAGCCCACAGGGAUUGCAGAGACCUUUGUAAAGCCAUGGGGUGCAGGGGUGGCACUCCUCUAGGCCAACCUCUGCAUUUCCAGGUGCCUGCUAGGAGCUAGGACUGCCUCCUGUGGAGAAAAUCAAGACAUGUCUGGAAAGAUGUGACAGCAUGUCUACAGAGGUGUAAAAACAAAUAUAUUCCAGGCAUCCGAGUUAGAAAAUAAUGAAGAAGGUGUGUGGUUUUGACUGUAGUGGAGCUGGGAGCAUCCCUGAGCGCUGCAGGGUGCAGAGCAACACUGCUGGGACAGCUGGGUCACAGCCCUUCCUGCUGGUUUGAUGAGGGCUGACCACAGGUCUGCAUGAGGUCAUCUCUGCUCCAGCUUUGAGGCGAUUCUCACUGCCCCUUGUCUGUUCCAUGCAGUUGCAGCAGAGGCACAACCCCAGGGCUGCUCCAGCACACCCCACCCAGCCAUGAGUCAUGGGAUCCGGGCACUGCAGCUGGGCACGGCCUCAUUUCCCACACCUGAUCUCCAUUUCCUUCCCUGAUCUGUUAUCUCCACAUCUGUAUUCAACAAGCAAAGCCACUGGAGGAGCAGGCACAGGGCUGAGCCUGUGUCUGGGGCAGGUGGGUACCCGGAAGCCCAUUGAGCAGCACUGCUGCCUGUGACAAAAGCCACGUGCAGCGUCCUUGUGCCAAGCAGCCCAGCAGCCAACGCAGAUUUUGCUGCUCCAACCCUGCAGGGUUCUGCUGUGCAGGCCCUUCCUGCAGCCUGAGCUCAGGGCUCUGUGCUGACCAUGGUUACUGCAUCUGCAGGUGCAGGAGUUGUUACACAUCCAGCUCUUUAUCAAAAUUAAUAAUAAAACAUCAAACCUCGUGUCAUCCAUUUUGGAUACAAAAUAUUUAUUUGAAGGAGGAAGAAACAUUUUCAUACUUGGAGUGUGCUUGUGUCCUGCUCCUACCAGCUGUGAGUGAAGUAAUAUUGUUCUGCCAGCAGGGACAUUUGAAUUGUAUCUGCCUUUGCUUCCCUGUGCUGCAGUGCAUUACUGAUCAUUGAGCAGCCUGCCAUCUCUAUCCAGCAGCUGAGUUCUUGAUUUAGAGCACACACCCAACAAACAUGCUUUUCAAGUUGUUGCAGUGAUUCACCAGAGCCAAGUGACUCGGCAGAGUAUUCUUUGUAUUUUGGACUAAAUUUAUCAAAGCCUUGGUUCUUCAUCCACCUCGUUAGGCCCUGGUUGGAGGAAUCUCCUUGUCUUGAGAAGCUUGCCUCCGAAACAAUUUUAAGUUACAAAUAUGAGGCUGUAUGUCAUGUUGUCUCAACCUUCCAGCACAAAAACCCAAAAUCUGAUUUUUAUAACACUUACCUUAAUUACUGCCAACACUUCUUUCUUGUUUUUUUUUUUUUUUUUUUUUUUUUUUUCUUUUUUAUUCUACCAGUGAUUAAGCAAGUUACAGAUUUUUGCCCGGGUUCCUUCCAACGGAACAUUCUGCUGCAGUGCUCGAGUCCUGCAAGUGCUCCUGUAGUGCCUGUCACUGAGAUGCAUUAAUGGCAGUGCCAUUCAGGCUGCAAGGCCAUGGAUUUACUUCCCUUCAAACCCCUGCAGGAAUGUUUGCCUGUUUCUUUUGUUACAUGUUCAGCAAUGCUUUGCACUUUCAGGAAACAAUACAGCAGUGCCUAGGUGUACAGUGUGCUUUAUAGGUGGCUCUGUGACAUGGCAUUGUCCCGGCCCGCAAGGCUCUUCCCUGCGUGUAUUUUGAAUUAGACCUACUGAAUUUUUGCUUUGAUGUUUCAAAUCUGCUGGCUUGUUUGGUCCCUGGAGUGAACAAAGAGAGCGAGCAGAUUGGGAUCUGCAUAGCAACCAGGGAACAACUUCAUCUGCAAGUCCUUAAUUGUAGGCAGUGGUGUGAAGGUGGAAAGAAUCCAGCCCAGCUCUCAGUCCCCAGGACUGGGUCCCAUGGGGAUGGAGAGUGUUGGGGUGAGGAUGGGGGUCAGUGUGAAGCUGUGAGGGUCCUGGGGCAAGCACACAACCGUGGAUGUGCUGAGCAAGUUUUGGCUGCAGCCGUGUAAAUGUGGCAGAUCCUGGGGCACAUUAGUCCCAUUUCCUCCACAGGGUGCUGGGCAGCACGGGGGAGAUGGGGUUUGUGGACAGGGAGAUCUGCUGGGCUCCGAUUGCGUUCAAAUUGUUGUGUUCCCAGGCAACAAACAGGAGCCAAGGAAAUGGCCACAAGUUGUAUCAGAGGAGGUUUAGGUGAGA
This is a long non-coding RNA of Lagopus leucura (white-tailed ptarmigan), 3294 nucleotides long. RefSeq lists it as uncharacterized. The transcript is spliced from 3 exons. The record is from RefSeq and is a predicted model, not a curated record. Lineage: Eukaryota; Metazoa; Chordata; Aves; Galliformes; Phasianidae.